RNAcentral lists this ribosomal RNA (467 nucleotides) under uncultured Rhodocyclaceae bacterium. RNAcentral describes it as "bacterial SSU rRNA". It matches the Rfam family "Bacterial small subunit ribosomal RNA", at positions 917 to 1381 of the family's 1533-position model. Lineage: Bacteria; Pseudomonadati; Pseudomonadota; Betaproteobacteria; Rhodocyclales; Rhodocyclaceae. The record is from RNAcentral.
GACGGGACCGCACAAGCGGUGGAUGAUGUGGAUUAAUUCGAUGCAACGCGAAACCUUACCUACCUUGACAUGUCCGGAAUCCCGAAGAGAUUUGGGAGUGCUCGCAAGAGGACCGGAACACAGGUGCUGCAUGGCUGUCGUCAGCUCGUGUCGUGAGAUGUGGGUUAAGUCCCGCAACGAGCGCAACCCUUGUCAUUAGUUGCCAUCAUUUGGUUGGGCACUCUAAUGAGACUGCCGGUGACAAACCGGGAGGGAAGGUGGGGAUGACGUCAAGUCCUCAUGGCCCUUAUGGGUAGGGCUUCACACGUCAUACAAUGGUCGGUACAGAGGGUUGCCAACCCGCGAGGGGGAGCUAAUCCCACAAAGCCGAUCGUAGUCCGGAUCGCAGUCCGCAACUCGACUGCGUGAAGUCGGAAUCGCUAGUAAUCGUGGAUCAGCAUGUCACGGUGAAUACGUUCCCGGGUCUU